Molecule: small nuclear RNA, 100 nt
Filed under: Jaculus jaculus (lesser Egyptian jerboa)
Lineage: Eukaryota; Metazoa; Chordata; Mammalia; Rodentia; Dipodidae
Source: RNAcentral
AUACUUUGACAGCACAUAUACCAAAAUCAGAACAAUACAGUGAGUGGCAUGGCUCCUGGGCAAGGAUGAAAUGCAAUUUUGUGAAACCCUCCAUAUUUUC